RNAcentral lists this ribosomal RNA (437 nucleotides) under uncultured bacterium. RNAcentral describes it as "partial 16S ribosomal RNA". It matches the Rfam family "Bacterial small subunit ribosomal RNA", at positions 29 to 507 of the family's 1533-position model. The record is from RNAcentral.
AGCGAACGCUGGCGGCAGGCUUAACACAUGCAAGUCGAGCGGGCAUCCUUGUGGUGUCGGCGGCAGACGGGUUAGUAACGCGUGAGAACGUUCCCUUCUGUUCGGAAUAACUCAGGGCAACUUGAGCUACUACCGAAUACGUCCGAGAGCAGAAAGGUUUAUCUGCCGAAGGAUCGGCCCGCGUCUGAUUAGCUAGUUGGUUAGGUUAUGGCUCACCAAGGCGACGAUCCGUAGCUGGUCUGAGAGGAUGAUCAGCCACACUGGGACUGAGACACGGCCCAGACUCCUACGGGAGGCAGCAGUGGGGAAUAUUGGACAAUGGGGGCAACCCUGAUCCAGCCAUGCCGCGUGAGUGAUGACGGCCUUAGGGUUGUAAAGCUCUUUUCUCCGGGACGAUAAUGACGGUACCGGAGGAAUAAGCCCCGGCUAACUUCGUG